This 408-nucleotide ribosomal RNA is filed under the name uncultured bacterium. RNAcentral's name for it is "partial 16S ribosomal RNA". It matches the Rfam family "Bacterial small subunit ribosomal RNA", at positions 360 to 776 of the family's 1533-position model. The record is from RNAcentral.
AAUUUUCGGCAAUGGGGGAAACCCUGACCGAGCAACGCCGCGUGAACGACGAAGUACCUCGGUAUGUCAAGUUCUUUUAUAUGGGAAGAAAAAGUAAAAAUUUACGGUACCAUAUGAAUAAGCACCGGCUACAUCCGUGCCAGCAGCCGCGGUAAUACGGAGGGUGGGAGCGUUGUCCGGAUUUAUUGGGUUUAAAGGGUGCGUAGGCUGGGAAGUAAGUCAGCGGUGAAAAGCACACGCUUAACGGGUGUCUUGCCGCAGAUACUACUUUUCUUGGAUGAGGAGAAGGUCACUGGAACGGAUGGUGUAGCGGUGGAAUGCAUAGAUAUCGUCCAGAACACCGAUUGCGAAGGCAGGUGACUGUACCUUAAUCGACGCUGAGGCACGAAAGCGUGGGGAGCGAACAGG